Molecule: ribosomal RNA, 494 nt
Filed under: uncultured bacterium
Lineage: Bacteria
Description: partial 16S ribosomal RNA
Rfam family: Bacterial small subunit ribosomal RNA
Source: RNAcentral
GACGAACGCUGGCGGCGUGCUUAACACAUGCAAGUCGAACGGUGAAGCGCCUUCCUUUUUGGUGGGUGUGGAUGAGUGGCGAACGGGUGAGUAACACGUGAGUAACCUGCCCCCUUCUUCUGGAUAACCGCAUGAAAGUGUGGCUAAUACGGGAUAUUCUGGACCGGUGGCAUGAUGGGUCUGGGAAAGAUUUUGUUUCGGUGGGGGAGGGGCUCGCGGCCUAUCGGGUUGUUGGUGGGGUGAUGGCCUACCAAGGCGGUGCGGGGUAGCCGGCCUGGGAGGGUGGACGGUCACAGUGGGAAUGAGACGCGGACCAGACUACGACGGGAGGCAGCAGUGAGGAAUAUUGCACAGUGGGAGCAAGGCUGAUGCAGCGACGCGGCGUGAGGGAUGGAGGCCGUCGGGUUGAGAACCUCUUUCGCGAGUGAAGCAGGCCUGCCUAGUUUGUGGGUGGGUUGACGGUAGCUGGAGAAGAAGCGCCGGCUAACUACGUG